Molecule: long non-coding RNA, 6855 nt
Organism: Triticum aestivum (bread wheat)
Lineage: Eukaryota; Viridiplantae; Streptophyta; Magnoliopsida; Poales; Poaceae
Exons: 6
Source: RefSeq, a predicted model, not a curated record
UCAACGACAUCCAAUGUCCAUGGUCAGGAAACCGUAACCAUCUGUUGAUCAACGAGCUAGUCAACUAGAGGCUUACUAGGGACAUGGUGUUGUCUAUGUACCCACACAUGUAUCUGAGUUUUCUUUGAAUACAAUUAUAGCAUGGAUAAUAAACGAUUAUCAUAAACAAGGAAAUAUAAUAAUAACUAAUUUAUUAUUGCCUCUAGGGCAUAUUUCCAACAUUUUUUCCACAUAUUCGGUGGUACAUAAACGUUCAAAAAGUUAGUCUAAGUUAUUAUCCGGGAUUGAUGUGCUAUCUUAGUUUGUAUUGUUAUGUUGGAAAAUUGGAAUACAUUGAUAGCAUGUGUUUUUCUAUUACUUAUUGUUACAAGAAUUUAUAUUGACUGUAAUGGUGUUGAGCUGUGAUUGAAAACAUCUAGCAAAAUAUGUUCCAUUUAUUUGCUGGGUGUUGGUUCUUCAGCAACACACCACAGUAUUUCAUUGAUUUGGUUGAUGCUUGUUUGGUUGAUGCUGGUAUAAUAGGUAGUUGCAUGCAUUUAUUUAUCAUGCUACCACUAGACUGCCUGAUAAAAACUUGCUGAAUAUAUAUAUCUUUGACUAGCAACUGAUGGAAUAUAGCUCAUGUUCAUGUAAAUUCCCAUCCCACUCAAAGUGUGAAACACUUAUUCUUCUUCUUUGUACUCAACAUCCAGGCAUCACACCUGAAUAUAUAUAUGCACAUAUUUAUGUAUGUAGUUAUCUGUCACACGCAUGAAGCAGUCUUGUUUGUUUUGGGAUGUAGUAUCACCACUUAAUUUGUUCCCUGUCUGCCUCCUUCCUAAAAUUCUGACUGUAUAUAUAUGGUAUGUGUACCAUCCAUGAUAUGCACUUGCUCCUGAUCUCAUGUUGGUCUUGUUUUUAUUUCAUGGCUUCCUAUUCGUGUAGUUCCAAUGUCAUUGGGUCUUGUUUGUAGAAUGAUGAGUCACGCCGCAGUUGAAAGUGGGCAUAAGUGGGACCGAUUGAGCCCAUCCCACUUAAUCAUCUUAGUGGGCACCCUUUGGACAACAGAAAAAAAAUAAGUGGGCUAUUCCAUUUAGCCCUCUGGGAGCCCAAUCUACAUAGUUUUCUCAAGUAAAAAAGGAAAACGAAUUACGGCGCCGCUUUCACGGGAUAGGGUUCGAUCCGCGCCCCUCUAGUUUGCCUGCAGGUGGCGCAAUGCUCCUCCUCUCGCCUCUCUUCUCCCUCGCCUUGUACGACGGAGAACUGACCACCGAGGUAACCCUGCCUCCUGCUCCGUCCUUCCCCUCUCCUCUCAUCCAAUGACCUUAUUCGUGGGCACCUUGGACAUAGGAUGAAGGAAGGGAGUGAUCGUCAGAUAGGAGAGAUGGGACCAUUUCCUCUAUCUCUACGAUAAAAUCAUCUGAGAGAGAGAGGAGCUUCGGGCUUAUUACAGUUUCAGAGUUGUACUGUACCACCUCAGUGGUGACUGUACCGUCGACAUGCCUUGACAGUUUCAGUCUUUCAGAGCUUUGGGCUUUAACAACAACCUAUUUCGUUACCUUGAUUAAACUUCUUGUUGACUUCCAUUUCUUUCCCUUAGCAUGUGAAUGCCUCUCUGUUUCCUGGAAGAUCAAUGCUUUUGUUUCAUUUUGCUCGAGUGUUUGUUGUGUUCAGCUCAGCUCAGCUCCUUGCCAUUUUCAUUCAACCAAGAAAGGAAUAAGGAAUCCUUGAUGUUUUUUGUAUACUGCUUUUGCCACAUCUUUCCUGGUUAAUUCUAGCUUGUUGCCUUGUUCUGUGAAUUAAUUCAUGCUACAUUUGUUUGGAUAGACUAGUAUUUAUAAGGUCAAGGGCCUGUGCUGGAGACUUUAUUCAAGUUUCUUUGAUGUUAACUGCUUGCACACCAAUAUCCUUAUAUACAAUUGUUUUUUAUGUAUAGGGUAAGAACAUGAUUUCAACGAUAGAGUAUGAUAAGUUACAACAAGUGCAUAAUUACAGACUUAUUUAUGUGUGCAAAAAUGGUGAAACCCCUUGCCGCAUUAUACCGGCAAUCUAUGGUUUAUUUUUUUUUAAUAGUAGCCUACUGAAAGUUUUUAAAAGAAAAAUAAGGGCUUAUGUUUUUCCAGCCCAACCAACUGGAGAUGUACAAAAGUACCAAUGUCCAAUGAGAAGCCGAACGAACACGUGUAGAAGUCUAGAUGUAGGCUGCUAGUGUUAAUGAGGUCCUUCCAAGUUUGUUUCUAGAAUAGUAGUACCCUUUAUUACUAUGUAUAAAAUAGAGAAAAAAACUUCUUGUCAAUACACACCUGAUCCCAUUUUUUCUGUAGUAGUCAGUGUUAGAUUCCAUCGCAAUGUUUUGAAACAUUUAAUUUCACACAAGUCAUCCCUUUCGUCUGUUGACUAUUUUGUUUCUUCCAAAAAGCUUCCUCUUUUGAUUUCUGACAAAGAUGUCUUAGCAAAACGAUAGCCAGUUGUUUCGGUGUUGGACAAAGAUGUGUGUUUAUGCAUGGUUUUGAUUCGAUUGCUUGCACAUAUCAAAGACUUUCUAGCAUCAUUAUCCAAAGGCAUUUUGAGCUCAGUGUUUGUGCCAAGUCAAAUAUGCUCAUCUCCUCGCCUUGUCAUUUCCAGCAGUGCUACCUUGGAGAUCAUGCAAGGAUCAUGAACAUGCUUAAUUUUUCAUUUUGACGUUGUCGGUUCGUUCGUUCUUUGCCCCAUGCUUGACAAAUAUGAAGGAUUUAUAGUUUUGCUAGUGCUAAUAGAUUUUAGUUGUUUUUCAGGUCAUGUCAUGGUAGUAGUUUAGUAGUACAUAGAUCAAAUAUAUAGAGAGAGCUAGUAUCUUAUAAUGCUUAGACAAACUAUAUUCAUUCUCUCAAUUGUUAAGUUGAAAAUACAUGAAGAUAUGUGUUAUGACUGAACUAUUGUGUGGAUGGGCUGGUGUGGGAUAUAUACUACAUUGUCCUGCUCCUCUGUACUCUUGUUGUGGGCAGCUGCUGAUCCUUUGUUUGUUUGAUUUUUUUUUGUAUGUUUGGAGUGAUCAUUGAGCAACUUGGCCAAGAACUCGCCCAACCUGAGGGUGGCCCACAUCAUAAUCAAAGAAGAUGGUGGUGGAUGAGACCGGUGCUGCUUUUGUGAUGAGCAAAACAAAAACUUGGUGGUCGCCGGCCGUGGCCUCCUGCGCGUGCGCAGCCGUAGUCUUGGCUAGUGGCCUCGGCUACAACUUGCAAAGGGAGCCCGUCCCUCUUCCUCCUCUGGUUCUCCCCCCUUGCUCUGAGCACAUGGACAUCGAGCCAUGGCUAUUUUACACCAGGUUUAAUGUCCAUGUCUGGUUAUGGUUUGGACUGGUGGUACAGUCAUGGCAUAAUGACUCCAGGUUAUGCUUGGAUGGAUUUAAUCUUUCUAAAAUAUGAGAUUUUUUGUAAAGAGCUAGUCUUGUAGGGUUUCAAUUGUCUAAAGAUUGUGGUUUUUAGAAGAUUGUUACCUUUCUGGUUUUAUGGCUGAUGUGGUCAGUAGAGAUCCAUGCGUGUUGUAUUUCCUAGUGGUGAUAUGAUGAACUAUAGAUUUGGAAGUUUGCUUUGUACAACUGCACUAUAGAGUUGGAUGUUUUUCGUGGUUGCGUGAUGUCGAUGAUGAUUACUGUGAAGCUUUCUCAAUGUAAUCACUAAUGAUUGCAUAACCUACUGCUUUCCUUCUGAGGCAUAAUGUCCCUCUCAAUUCUUCUCUCUUGAAAUAGUGGUUUUGCGUGAUCCCUUGUGACAGAAAUUAUUCAGACUUCAAGAUGCAAAGGUAAAACAAUUUUUGAUGCUGCUGUUUAGGUUAGAUAGUCACACUUUUAUUUCUGUCAAUUGCAUGGCAUGGUAUCUAGACUAGGUGUCCUUGAUGUUCUCAAUAUAUUCAUGCCUUUUUAUACCUUGAAUGAUCCAUCAGCAUCCUGUAAAGACUAGUCUCAUUGAUGGUAAUAUUUAUAAGUAUACAUGUUAUCAGAACACACAAAAUGAACCCUGUAUUGCUUUGUUCAUUUCAAUUUCGUGUAUUGUGCUAUUGUUUUACUCCGAGUUGGCCUGAUCCGGUUUUUUCCACAAAUGCAGGUGCCAUUGUUGUUGAUUCCAUUGUUCAUGGCCAUCUGAAAAGCUAAGGAACUGUUCAAACCUUGAAAUAAACUUGAACACCCUGCAGUUGUGUAAUUGAGGAGCCCCAUGACAUCAACAAGAAUGACGACGAUGAUGCGGAGGAGGAGGACCUCAACUACACACCACACAAAGUCCCUAUUGUUUGUCGGCAAUGGCUUCCUUGCCUGCAGCAGGUAGCAUUCGGUUACUGCUGCAAAUGCCAACGGAAGAAAAUAUACAUAUGAAAUGCUACACUUGCACUCAGGAGUGUGAGAAAUUUUGCCCAAUUUCAUUGCCAUGUUCAUCAUGUCAUUUACCCACAAAUUAUCAGUUAUUUUAUGCUAUAUGAAGUUGUUCCUCUCUUGAUUUUUCAUGGUAGACGGAAUUGUAUGAUUUCGGAUAGUACUUUAUCAAAUUCAAACCAUACAACAUCACCCACGUCCCUCUAUGCAGUGCAGUUUGCAACUGAACCCAUCUCUAGUACUGGAUCUCCAGUACUAGCUUCUUUCAUGUGCCCUUGAGUAUCCAGCUCAACUGAUUCAAGUUCUUGGACAAUUAAUUAAGCACUAUAACAAAUUAAUGAAUGCCCUCCUUGUUCUUCUAGCUAGUAUACAUUACUACUGGAUGGUGAUCAAUUUUAGCCAGCCAUUCUUCCAUGCCCCCUCUCUCCACCCACUCACUUGAUAAUCUCCCUGCACCAUCAAUCCAUCUCCUUUAGCAACUAGCUGUUGCAAAUGGCACCAGAUUUAAUUCUGAAUGUAUGCUUAGUUAUUCAGCAUGCUUGAAGUCCCAUCAUUUUGUGUCUGGUCAGUUAUUUUCGUAGCUCAUAAUAUGCUCAACUUCUCAGGAAAGUAAUUGACGUUUUAGCGUUAUGGUCACCGAGUUUCCUCUUGUUCAGUAGGCGAAAGGGAGGUUAUAUUGAAACGCUAUACUGGUGCCCUUGUUGAAAUCGAGUGCCCAUGUUGUGUGAUAUACAAUGUUGCUGUGUUGUGUCUCUUGUGUGGCCGAGUUUAAUAUUAUGUUUGUAUUUCUGUUUGCGGUUGUGUGCUAGAGUCUAAUUAGUUAUGUGAAUAGUUAACUUUAAGAUGUUGAUGUGUCAUAGAAAAGAUGAUUUCUUGUGUUGUGUACUUUCGGAAAUUAACGCAAUGCUAAAUGUAUGUAGGCUUAAGAAAUUGAUCAAGGUAAGCCAUUAUAUCUCUUUGCUUGUUUUUUAAAUUGUCACUAUGUCGGAUAAUUAUUUGAUUGUGAAGUAAUAGUUCCUUGCUUUUGUCUAGUAUUAAGAAACAGUUUGUUGAAACAACCAUUAGUCUCUCCUAGCUACAGAAACUGCCUAUAUGCAUUUGCUUAGGCUUGGAGCCUAACUCAUGUCUCGGGCAUGAACUCUCCCUGCAUAAUUAUUUCUUAUCCUGCCUAUCAGUCGCUGCAAGGUUUUUUGGUAUAUGUGUGUAUAACUGAUGCAAAGCUAUCCAAUCAGAUCUUGGUCUUGUGUGUAAAACAAUCAAUCCUUCUGUUGUGUGUAAUCAAUGUGAAGCAAUGAAAUAAACUUGCUACAUGUUGCUUACGAGGCACCAUGUAGUUUGUUUGUUUGAUUUGAUUUGUUUGUUUGUUUGAUUUGGAGCAGACCUGGACCCCAUGCCCAAGCUCACGAGGUCACCGUUGAGUCCGACCUCCACCUCGAUCAUGACGACGACGACCCGCACAAGGUCGAUCCCUACUUUACCACAAAUAUGUUCUUUCUUUUGUGAAGUAACAGUUCCUUGCUUUGUGUAAUGUUAAGAAACUGUUUGUUGAGACAACAAUUAUUCUCUCCCGGCUACAGGAACUGUUUAUAUGCAUUUGCUUAGGCUUGGAGCAUAACUCAUAAAUCAGUUACCUGUUUUGCGUAUCCUAUGAAUUUGAGCCUUAUCUGUUUGCUAUUUCUCCAUCUCAAAUCUCCAUCAGUAAGCUAAAAAAAGACUAGCUAGCUAAUCCUCUGUAAUUAGCUUGCUUCCCCCAUCUCACGCUGAAACCCUAGCUCUUCCCUUGGUGACGGAGAGGCUCACAUCAUGGAUCCUCUCCUCGAAGACAUCAACGGCCAAGGAAGGAGAAGCUGCUGCAUAGGUGCCAUCCUGUAGCCAUGGACGGCACUCAUAGCAUGUGCGAAGUCUGCUCCUUCCCCGCAUGGCUAGUUAGCACUUCUCCCGCCCAUGGAAGCAGCAGGCACCCUCCGCCGAUGACCUGGACCCCAUGCCCAAGCUGACGAGGAGGACAUCGUCGAGUCUGACGUCCACCUCGACCAUGAUGACGCCCCGCACAAGUUCAACUACUUGGUCGGUUGCCACUACUCUCUGCCUGAUGACCGGUUAUGGGCGAUCGGCAGAACAAGUGAGUUGACACUAGGUUACUUCCCUGUAAAAAACGAUCCCGCCGGAGGGCGGAGGCUGUCCUGGAAGGAGGCCACACAUGAGUUAUGAGGACCAUAUGCCUAGGUGGAAGCAGUCUUGAGAACCUUGGCCAAAACAAGGAAGUUUGAGAAGGCUAGUGGUAUGAGGAACAACCAUGGCUUCAAGGUUUAACUCAUGUAUGUGUACCAUCCAUGAUAUGCACUUACAUCCGGAUCUCUGUUGGUCUAUGCUUGUAGUUCCGACUUGAGCGGUAUGCCGUUUCCCAUCACACACAUGGAGCGGUCUUGUUCUUUUUGUUAUAUGUUGUGUAUGCUCGCCUCAUUCCUGAAAUUCCAACUACAUAUAUGUGGUCUGUGUACCAUCCAUGAUAUGCACUUACAUCCGGAUCU